Molecule: ribosomal RNA, 407 nt
Filed under: uncultured bacterium
Lineage: Bacteria
Description: bacterial SSU rRNA
Rfam family: Bacterial small subunit ribosomal RNA
Source: RNAcentral
ACAUGCAAGUCGACGAAGCCUUCGGGCUUAGUGGCGCACGGGUGCGUAACGCGUGGGAAUCUGCCCUUGGGUUCGGAAUAACAGUUAGAAAUGACUGCUAAUACCGAAUGAUGUCUUCGGACCAAAGAUUUAUCGCCCAAGGAUGAGCCCGCGUCGGAUUAGCUAGUUGGUGAGGUAAAGGCUCACCAAGGCGACGAUCCGUAGCUGGUCUGAGAGGAUGAUCAGCCACACUGGGACUGAGACACGGCCCAGACUCCUACGGGAGGCAGCAGUGGGGAAUAUUGGACAAUGGGCGAAAGCCUGAUCCAGCAAUGCCGCGUGAGUGAUGAAGGCCUUAGGGUUGUAAAGCUCUUUUACCCGGGAUGAUAAUGACAGUACCGGGAGAAUAAGCCCCGGCUAACUCCGUG